This is a long non-coding RNA of Parasteatoda tepidariorum (common house spider), 2227 nucleotides long. RefSeq lists it as uncharacterized. NCBI's taxonomy places the organism in Eukaryota, Metazoa, Arthropoda, Arachnida, Araneae, Theridiidae. The record is from RefSeq and is a predicted model, not a curated record.
UAAGACAUAAUUUUUUUAUAAAUAUUAGCUUCAUCUUUACACCUUAACUUUUAUUUCAGAAUUAAUCGAAUCCUCAUACAACACCUUAUUGCUGCCAAGCACUACUCAUCCUUCUAAGAAUCGAAGAAGCGAAGCUUUUACAUGUUCAGUUUGUGGAAAGUGCUUUAGUCGCAAAAUCAUUUGAAUCCUCUUACAUGGACUCAUUUCUGCCAUAUACUACUAAUUCUUCUAAGAAUCGAAAAAAAGGAGCAUUUGCUUGUUCAGUAUGUGGAAAGUGCUUUAGUCGCAAGUAUGUACUGCAGGUUCAUGAGCGGAUUCAUUCAGAAAAAAAGUUCUACUCUUGCCAAUUCUGCGACUAUACCUGCAAUCAUCUCUCAAAUUUAAAAAUGCACAUAGCCAAUAAGCAUGAAAGAAAUUUCUCCAAUUUUUGCUCCAUGUGUGGGAAUGGUUUUGAUUCCAGGAAUGAAUUGUUUAAUCAUAAAAACCAGGUGCAUCGAAAAUGAUUUCUAUUAAGAUGACAUGCUAGUUCUGUGAUUAUACUUAUAACAGUUUUUCUUGUAGAGGUGUUACUCAAUUUAUAAUCAUUAAAUAAAUUUUAUAAAGAUAUUUGUAUUGAAAUAAGGUGAGUUCUAGAUGUAAACUGACUCCAUAAAAAUCUUCUGCUACUGACGAAAAAGCAAUUAAUAUUGACUGUAAUAUUUUUUUUUUUUUUGGUGAUUAAUUGCGCAAAUUUAAAUAUAUUGCUAUGAGUUGGUCAUAUAUUUGUCUUUUAAAACUUAGAAAAACAAUUGCCAUUAUAUUUAAUAUUAAAGGUUCUAAAAAUAAAUUUUUUGCAAAAAAUAAUAAAUAAUUAUCUAAUUUUGUGUUGAAAUAAAUAAAUCUAAAAGAAUGUAUUUAUUUAUUUUUUUUAUUUUUUUGAUUCAUGGUAAUAUUUGUUUUUUCUAAGCAUGUACGGCUUGGAGAAUCAAUUGCCAUAGUUUUGUGUAUUAAAAUGAUUUAAGUUAUAGAAAUAAAUUGACUGUCUAUAAGGAGCUUUUAUAUAAAAAUAAUUUCAAGUGAUUGCACUUACAUACAAUUCAUACUGACUUAAGUAAAUUUAAAGAAAUAUAUAUAUUUCAAUAGUAAUGGAAUCAUUUGAUUUUCUAAGCUUUUCAGGCUUAAAAACCACGGCUAUGUGUGUUAAAAUGGUUUGAGUUCAUGAAAUGAAUUUAUUAAUCAUAAUAAUCUUUUGUAUAAAAAUAAAUAAUCUUAUAAUUCGAACUAAGACUAAUCAAAAGUUCAAAAUGAUAUUUUUCAGUUUUUAAAACUAAAUUAAUUGUGUAAAAUUGAAUUUCACAUUAAUUUUAACAGUGAUAGAUUGCCAUAUUUUGAUUCAAGCUAGUUCUGGAAAAAAAUUUGAAACAUUGUAUGCAUACACAUGCACACAGGUUUUUUCCAAACCGCAUAUCAAAUAGAAUAUUUGAAUAUCUACUCUAAAUUGACUCUUUUGUAUAACCGUUAAUAAGAAAUUCAUUUGUAUCUUUGAAAUAAUAUUAGAAAUAAACCUAUUUAUGUUUAUUUAUUUUUAGCUUAUGUAAUGAUAUCCAUUUAUUAUAUUCUGCAUUCAUGUUGUAUAAUAUGUGUGAAUUAACUUUUUAAAUAAAUUAAUUCAGUAUCUACUCUCAUUUUGUCCAAUUUAAUCAUAGUUAAUAAAAGAUUCAUUUGGGGAAAAAUUCUUGAAAGUAACGCAUGGAGUAAUGCUAUUUUAUUUUUUUAUUUGUUAACUUAUCCUUGUUUUUGGCAUUUGUUUUGAACUAUAUGAUACUCAUAUAAUAUUUUUAGAAUUCAUAUUGUAUUAAAUACUUUCUUUUCUUGCUGAUACUUUUAAUUAGAAUGAAUAUGUAUACUGUUUUUUUAAGUGUAAAAAAAGCUUUCACCAAGUGGCCUUCGACUUUUAAAAUUUUAUUUGAAUAUAAAUUUUAAACUUCACUCACCUAUUAUGUUUAUUAAUAUGUUAUAUUAGCAUUUUUUGUUUUUGCUAUUGUUCCUAUAUUCAUAAAAUAAUGUUAAGUGUAUAGAAUCAUUACUAUUAAGGGACUGUCAAAUCAAAUAAAAUUGAAUUAUGCACAAUUUCAUUAAUUAAUAUCAAAUUUACCCUACUGUCAAGGAUAAUCACUUUUUAUACCUUUAUUUAUUAUUUUGUAAAUAUUUAAGAACAUUUCUAAUAAAUCUUGCAAUUUUGCAGAUA